GCCCCACUCUCCCACGCAACCUCCCCUUUCCUCGUUUUCCCUUCCCAGGAUGGGCGGCUAGGGUUGCCACCGCCGCCCCCGUCCCCGCCCCAUCAGCACAUCCCAGUUCCUCCGACGCCGACCACUGGAGAAAGCGCCUUACUCAGAUCCGCUUCUCCCCCUCGUCUUCGUGUUCCACCCGCCCAGUAUGGUUGUAGAGGAGGGGCGAGGAAGGGGAUGGCGUGGCCGUCGGCCGGAGGCAGAGCAGGGUGCUGCCAGCGGGAGAGGCACCCCUCCCUGCUUCUUGGCGAGCGUUGGCACUUCUUCCAGGCCCGCUACUUCGUCGGGGAGGACGAGAUCAACCUGCUCCAGGCCCAAAGAAGAAGAGCACGGAGAACAUCCUCUCCUUUACAUCUACAAUCGAAUUUAUAGGUCACAAAAUGGCAAAAUGCUUUGAAUAGCAUAUGUACUUCCGUCAGUUGCAUUCCAUGUCUUUUAUCUCAUCUAUUUUAUUUGGAUUAGGAGAUGGAAAUUUAAAGGGAAAGGAAAGCAGCGGCAUCCCGUGUACUUACGUUCAGAUUUAUGGGCAGAGAGACAGUAACUUGUAAGGUAGGGCUAUGAGUGAUGGGAGAGCACUUGUUGUCAGGGCUGGCUACGGCGGCAACAAGAUAACAUUCACGGUAGUGAUGUGCUACCUCACGGCGGCCUCCGACGGGCUCAUUCUUGGAUACGACGUCAGAAUCACAGGUUCUUUGUACCACGGACUUUGACCCUAUUUCUGAGAUCAGGUAACUGGAUACUUGACACAUAGUUGAGACAAUUGCAUUUCAAUAACUGAAACUAUUUUUGCCCUAUACUUAUAUUUUAUUAGCCUUUGUGCAACCAUCCAACAAAAGAAAGAGCAGCUAUAUAGUUUCCUUGGAUUGCACGAUAAUAACAUUUCUUGCUUAGGAAUAACAUGAACAUUCACUCUCAUGAAGUACCAACAUCGCUAUUUUUUAGUGACCCGGAGUUUAGUUCGGCAUCAUUAUGAGAGUCCUCUGGACAAAGUUAGGCUUAGACCUGGAAUUGCUUCAUGUGAGUUUCUCUGAACUGUACUAGCCCAGAAUGCUAACAUACACAGGUAUUGCCCAGGGUUUAAUAUUAACUUGGAACUUUGUUCAGUCUUAUGAAAGCUUUACUGAAUCCUAUUAACAUGUAUUUACUUAAGGAUAGUGCAGGAUCAGCACGGGCCACUGAGGAACACGUGAGUUUUCAUCCAUUGUCAAAUACCACUGAAGUUGUGUAUAUAUGUAGGGUUAGUCACAUGUCAUCAGUGCUUUGUUUGGUCUCUCAUCCACUAAAUGUUGUUUACUUUGCUAUUACUACUACAAAGUCAUAGUUCAGUUACUCAUUUUUAAUCACAUGUCCAUCACAAACUCCUGAAUCUGACAGUAAGGUUUUAAUCCACACAUAAGGACAUGUAUUCUAUGUAUUAGUUGCCACAUCAAUAUUUGCGUUUAUGCUCAAAAUAUACCCCGUGGUAUACUUAGAACUGUUGCCCUACAAGCUAACUUGCAUCAUGUAUGUAUCUUCUAUUAGGUAUCGUAGUAAAGACAGUUCGAAAUACAUUCCCUGGGAUGGUCCAUGAUACUCUGGUAGCUCUUUAGGUAUCCUAUAUCUUUUAUUUGUGCAUCAUUCACCUUUGGUAAAUCCAGUGCGUUGACCACUAGCGACCACUUUCUUUUCUGUGUAUUGGUGCAGUUGUUGCAUAUUCUACCAUCAUCAUUUCCCUUUCCUCUUGCUUGCUCCUCAUUUAUUUCCUUGAGCAAGUGGAUGGCUAUUUAUGUAGGUACAUGUUUUCUUAUGGCUCUCAUUGUUUGUAUGGCCUUCCCAGGAGAUGUAGGCCUUCAUUUUUGCAGUUUCAGGUAUUAACAUUGUUGAAUAUCAUCCUCAACAACUCCUUGCCACGGCCACUAGCUGUAAGACACCGUUCCCUACAUAAUUAGUUUCUUUCUUGUUCCUUGAGUUCUUACUUGCUGCUGUAGUUGAUUGGAUUGGGAGAUAUUUGUGUUUUAUCAAAUUCAUAUGGGAUUCUUUUAAGUUUGAGAAAAAAUGAUCGAAGAGAACGAGGAAGGCCCCGAUCAGCCGACGGACGUGGCGGCUGCUGCGGCUGUUGAUGCUCUGGGCAUGUACAGCACAGCCGCGUCGGCCUUGGCGGCAGGCGCAUCACAAAGUUCUAUGUGUAAAUGAACUGCGGCGACAAUUCUGGAGCUGCAAUUCACCGACAUGAUGAAGAGUAUCAUCUUAUAGAUAUAGUGUUAAGAUUGCUUAUUUAUUUGAUGUAUUUGGUUAGUUUUUUAUGAAGAAGAGCAUCGUAUGUAAUGCAUCAGUUGUACAUGCAUGCAUUUUAUCAAUCAGAGCUCAAAUUCACUGAAAGGGCGCCACCCUACCUGGCACCGCAGAAACUUCCUCUCAGGCGGCAGGUGGCGCCACACGUUGGCGAUGUCAUUGUCUUUUCUCCUAAGGAUGAUCCAUCGACAGAUUGCACUACUUUCAUGCUGAUGUGCAUUAACUUCAUGCAAUAGCAUUGUGCAGUACACCCAGGAAAGUGAAAGGGACGCACCCAACCUGGCACCGCCGAAAUUCCUCUCAGGCAGCGCGCCACGGGCGCGCCCCAACCACUAGUGUUGAUAAGUUACUUAGGUAUACUAGAUGACGCCCCUUACGUUGUUGCGGGGAUAUUUCGCAACAUAAUCCGAUGAAGUGGCAUGCUUGCUUGUUAAGAGACAUAUGAUAGUAGGGGUGGGCUUUUCUCAUGCAUGUUAUGAGAUGAUGUUGUAUGCUUGCAUGUUGAGAGUACUAGUUAGUAGGAGGUAACUUUUUUAAUCAAAUAUAUGUA
This is a long non-coding RNA of Triticum aestivum (bread wheat), 2860 nucleotides long. RefSeq lists it as uncharacterized. The record is from RefSeq and is a predicted model, not a curated record. The transcript is spliced from 5 exons. Lineage: Eukaryota; Viridiplantae; Streptophyta; Magnoliopsida; Poales; Poaceae.